RNAcentral lists this ribosomal RNA (372 nucleotides) under Fragilariales sp. endosymbiont of Amphistegina lessonii. RNAcentral's name for it is "SSU rRNA". Lineage: Eukaryota; Bacillariophyta; Fragilariophyceae; Fragilariales. The record is from RNAcentral.
UUAGACGCAGGAAGAUAGGNGCAAUAACAVGUCUGUGAUGCCCUUAGAUGUCCUGGGCCGCACGCGCGUUACACUGAUGCACUCAACGAGUCUACCUUGGCCGAGAGGCCUGGGAAAUCUUGUUAACAUGCAUCGUGAUAGGGAUAGAUUAUUGCAAUUAUUAAUCUUGAACGAGGAAUUCCUAGUAAACGCAGAUCAUCAAUCUGCAUUGAUUACGUCCCUGCCCUUUGUACACACCGCCCGUCGCACCUACCGAUUGAAUGGUCCGGUGAAGCCUCGGGAUUGCGAUGAGUUUCCUUCAUUGGGAGUUCGUCGCGAGAACCUGUCUAAACCUUAUCAUUUAGAGGAAGGUGAAGUCGUAACAAGGUUUCC